ACGACUCUCGGCAACGGAUAUCUCGGCUCUCGCAUCGAUGAAGAACGCAGCGAAAUGCGAUACUUGGUGUGAAUUGCAGAAUCCCGUGAACCAUCGAGUCUUUGAACGCAAGUUGCGCCCGAGGCCUACUGGCCGAGGGCACGUCCGCCUGGGUGUCACGC
RNAcentral lists this ribosomal RNA (161 nucleotides) under Casearia prunifolia. Its description in RNAcentral is "ITS1". It matches the Rfam family "5.8S ribosomal RNA". Rfam says of the family: 5.8S ribosomal RNA (5.8S rRNA) is a component of the large subunit of the eukaryotic ribosome. It is transcribed by RNA polymerase I as part of the 45S precursor that also contains 18S and 28S rRNA. Functionally, it is thought that 5.8S rRNA may be involved in ribosome translocation. Lineage: Eukaryota; Viridiplantae; Streptophyta; Magnoliopsida; Malpighiales; Salicaceae. The record is from RNAcentral.